RNAcentral lists this ribosomal RNA (1748 nucleotides) under Triticum aestivum (bread wheat). RNAcentral describes it as "partial small subunit ribosomal RNA". Lineage: Eukaryota; Viridiplantae; Streptophyta; Magnoliopsida; Poales; Poaceae. The record is from RNAcentral.
GUGGCGUGAUCGGUCCGCGUGCCGGUCGUGCGUGCGAGCGGUGAGGGCAGGACGGCGGAGGACAGACCGAGGAAGGGUCGGAGGCGGCGCGCGGCGGUGAAUGGCAGCGCAGUGGAAGAGACGAAGAGGGGUCGGCCGCUGGUGGCGUCUUUGCAUCACGCGACGGACCCGCAGAUGCAGCGACGUGCGGACGUGUGCCGCCUCCUCGAGGGCCAAUGAAGCCGUCUUAGACUUUUGGCUCGGUUUAACGGGGAACGACGAGGUGCGGCCUGAGCGGUGGCCUCCUCCUCCCGGUUCUAUUUGUUUUGGCUUAGGCUUAUUUCGGCCGUUCAGUUACGUCAAGCGCUAGUGGUGGCGGCAGAGGCGCUUGGGCGUAGACUUCGGAGACCAGAGGAAGGGCGCCGGCAGCGGGGGCGUGGCCCAGGCUCAGGUGGGAGGAACGGUGGCGGACUUGUGCUCCCGCUCGCAGUACCGGAGGAGCCGCGGCGACCUCGAGUGGUAGUGCGCGGGGCUGCUGACCGUGGAGGUGGAGGCACUGCCGCUGCACUACCGGCGCCACGAGGGGGUGUCGCGCUCCGUGAAACUCUCUCGGUAGCACUACGGGUUGGACUUCGGUGGCCAAUGAUGUUGCCGUGCACGCUAGCGCAUGUCUCUACUCUAGGAGUUCCGCGACGGAGGGCCCUCGUCGAAGCACGGCGAGUACUGCGAGAUGGAGUGCCUGUCCUGAUCGGGCCUCCUUUAAUUCUAGCGUUCUUUCUCACCACACCAAAAACGACAGUUCAACAUAGGACGACCUCGUUGAUGAUUGAGGGUUCUACCGCAUUGACUAUAAAACCCCUUUACGAACGGACAGGAACUUCUCUACCAGUUCGUCCUUUACGGAAAUGAACAAGUACCUCUUCAGUGUCUAGGAGUACAGCUGUGGAAACUGGCACUCUUCCAGAAGUAACUCUUUUAUAAUCGUGGUGAACAUGUUUUUGAAGGUGUCGACUUUUAACAAUACCUUGUAUAGUGAUGCUACCUACGUCACUUGAAGCAUCUUAGUACGUUUCUUCCAGUACAACGACGUUGUCACUGAGGCGUCGUAGAGGAAGAUUUGUCCUUACGCAACAAAGUCCCACCAAAUGUCGGAGUGUUAAUAACGAACGGUCACGACUUCUCUCUUUGGGUGUCCGUUCGAUAACAAAGACGACAUUGUUCACCCUCGUCUGUUAUGAAAGAACCGUGACUGUCACGAGGGGUACUAUUUGCCGACUUCCUCACAAGGACACCUACACGUCCUUAUAUAUCACGAGGACAACGAGAAAGAGAAAUACGCUUCCAUAAACUUCUCCGGCCACGAGAACUAUUCGAUCUCCGCAAAUGUUCGAAGUUACCCGGUCUAAAAAUACCAGAGGGUUCCUUGUGUAGUUUCUGACAAGACUCUUCCUCAGGGACCUUUCACGGACGUUGAAUACGCAUGCCAAGUCCUCACUAACACGGAUACAGGUGGCCGUUGUGAGACCUUACCGAAGGCGGGCUAGUCGGGCUUCUUAUUCGUUUAAUGUCUGCCAGGUAAACCCCCUCUUUGUUAUUCACCUCGGCAAGGUAGAGGGGGGAAAGACAUCUUACGCGGACUGUUUGUUCCAAAACCAACAUCUGAAUGGGGCACACCCUAAGAAUUUUAGUUGAAACAUUCUUGUUGAAUAAGGUUCGUUCUCGCUUUUUCAGAAGCAGACUUAUUUUCUUUUCUCCAAGAACAACUCAAU